This 209-nucleotide non-coding RNA is filed under the name Vagococcus penaei. RNAcentral's name for it is "T-box sequence". It matches the Rfam family "T-box leader". From Rfam's summary of the family: Uncharged tRNA acts as the effector for transcription antitermination of genes in the T-box leader family. Lineage: Bacteria; Bacillati; Bacillota; Bacilli; Lactobacillales; Enterococcaceae. The record is from RNAcentral.
GUAAUAUCAAUGAAAGAGGAAGUACUUUUUUUAUUUACGUUAGAGAAGGUGAGCCGUGGCUGAAAGCAACCUAUGAAAAAAGGAAAGACACUCUGGAGAUGAAUGUUUAAAAGGCAUUCCGUAGCGAGCGUUAAUCGUGUGAGAUAAAAUAGUUUAAUGACUAUUUUAAAAAUAGGUGGUACCGCGUGUGUAUAUCAUUCGUCCUUGUU